CUCAUCCUUUCAGUUUUCUUCGUAGUGAUGGCGGUGUUGAUUUCUUCGCCUGCAGUGAAAGCUAGUGGGUUUCAAUUUGCCUAAGCUGUUGUGGAAUUAAUCCCAAAAUAACAUCCGGAACUACGUUAUCCUCCCCAUCACAGAGAGAUACAAAUAGUGUAAAACGAAGACCCAGAUUUAUAAGCUAAUUGUUGAAACAGAAUACUUUUUGUUAAGGCGAGAAAAGGGGUUGAUAAAGUUCAAGAUUCGGAAGUGGGUAAGUUUGUAUUAAUGAAAUGAGUAAUGGAUCGGAGGAUUGAAGGUAAUUAAUGGCGAUUUCUAACUCACUUGGAUAAGAAAGUGCACGCAAUAAUACUAUUUCUGAUACGAAGGUGGAAGUUGCAAUAGUGUUGGUAAUUUUGCGGAUUUUUCUGGGACGAGAAUGGAGUUGGUGGGAGGUACAAUGACAACAAUAUCAAUGGCGGUGGGGGAUGGGGGGUUAGGUGAAGAUGGUGAUGGAGAUGCUGAUUCUUGGGCCAU
This 519-nucleotide long non-coding RNA is filed under the name Capsicum annuum. RNAcentral's name for it is "long non-coding RNA (CANN_LNC018929)". Lineage: Eukaryota; Viridiplantae; Streptophyta; Magnoliopsida; Solanales; Solanaceae. The record is from RNAcentral.